This is a long non-coding RNA of Bubalus bubalis (water buffalo), 585 nucleotides long. RefSeq lists it as uncharacterized. Lineage: Eukaryota; Metazoa; Chordata; Mammalia; Artiodactyla; Bovidae. The transcript has 3 exons. The record is from RefSeq and is a predicted model, not a curated record.
GCAGGAGGUGCUAGGCUGUGACUUGCUUAGGAUGGGCUGUGUUACCUGUUCCUGCUGUUGGAAAUCUUCUCAGGAAGAGAUGAGGAAGCAAGAAAACAGGCAGUGGGAGCAGGACAGGAGGGGUAACUUAGGUAGGAAAAUGGAAAGCUUCCAGAAGAUCACCCAGGCCACGACCAUCCUGCCUGACCUACAGGAGCCAACUCAGAGAUUACCACAGGCCCAUAUAGAUGGGCACAGACAGUGGCCACAUGUGUGGAGUCUGGAGAAAAUGAGGCCCUUGGAGUCACCUGGAAUGGAUAAAGGCCUGGCUUCAUCAGCUCGGCAUGUUGGAUCUUAGUUCCCUGACCAAGGAUCAAAUCCGUACCCCCUGCUGUGGAAGUGCAGAGUCUUAACCACUGGACUACCAGGCAAGUCCAUGAAUUCACUUUUUAGUUCUGACAGUUGCUUUGGUGUAAUGUUAUGUGGAAAACUAGAAUUAAGUCAUCUCAUAGUUUCAGUUCCAUGUAGGUCAUCCACAGCAACCAAGGCAUGGUGUCGACUAAUAUACUCUUCCUAUGGUGCCUUUUAAUACCACACAGACUAGUA